GACGACGCUGGCGGCGUGGAUUAGGCAUGCAAGUCGAACGGUAUCAUCCUUUCGGGGGUGAGAGAGUGGCGAACUGGUGAGUAACACGUAGGUUAUCUACCCUCAAGACGGGGACAACCCAGGGAAACUUGGGCUAAUACCGGAUGUGAGCAACUUUUAGUUGUUUGAAAGGUGGCGUAAGCUGUCGCUUGGGGAUGAGCCUGCGUCCUAUUAGUUAGUUGGUGAGGUAACGGCUCACCUAGGCAAUGAUAGGUAGGCGGCCUUAACGGGUGGUCGCCCACACUGGGAUUGAGAUACGGCCCAGACUCCUACGGGAGGCAGCAGUCGAGAAUAGUCUACAAUGGUCGGAAGACUGAUAGUGCGACGCCGCGUGAACGAUGAAUCCCUUCGGGGUGUAAAGUUCUUUUAUAUGUGAGCAGUGCUUCUUAUAUUAACAGUAUGGGGAGAGAGAUAUUAGCAUAUGAAUAAGCAACGGCUAACUCCGUG
This 486-nucleotide ribosomal RNA is filed under the name uncultured bacterium. Its description in RNAcentral is "bacterial SSU rRNA". It matches the Rfam family "Bacterial small subunit ribosomal RNA", at positions 33 to 507 of the family's 1533-position model. The record is from RNAcentral.